Molecule: ribosomal RNA, 253 nt
Filed under: uncultured bacterium
Lineage: Bacteria
Description: partial 16S ribosomal RNA
Rfam family: Bacterial small subunit ribosomal RNA
Source: RNAcentral
CACGUAGGGGGCGAGCGUUGUCCGGAUUUAUUGGGCGUAAAGGGCGCGUAGGCGGCACAGCAAGUCGGGAGUGAAAGCCCGGGGCUCAACCCCGGAAUGGCUUUCGAAACUGCUGAGCUAGAGUACAGAAGGGGCAACCGGAAUUCCCAGUGUAGCGGUGAAAUGCGUAGAUAUUGGGAAGAACACCUGAGGCGAAGGCGGGUUGCUGGGCUGAUACUGACGCUGAGGCGCGAAAGCCAGGGGAGCAAACGGG